This is a long non-coding RNA of Polyodon spathula (Mississippi paddlefish), 1166 nucleotides long. RefSeq lists it as uncharacterized. NCBI's taxonomy places the organism in Eukaryota, Metazoa, Chordata, Actinopteri, Acipenseriformes, Polyodontidae. The transcript is spliced from 2 exons. The record is from RefSeq and is a predicted model, not a curated record.
UGUUUGAAGGGGCAGUGAGUAAUGAUUGCAGUUAUCAAGGUGUCCAGGAGUUUUCCAUAUGUCUGCUUUAAUCACUGCUGGAGGCAGUUUUUUUUUCACCCGUGACACGUCUGUUUUGGGACUGUAAUGAAAACAACGAGGUGCAUCGCUGUAGACUGAUGCAUCCUGUUGCCUUCCCUGUACAUCCCAUAGCUACACCACUGGAGAGUACAACACAUGCAGCAGCAGGAAUGUUUCAUCUACAGAGCUGGAUUUAAAACUAAAAGCUGUUAGCACCCCUUUAAUUAGCUGCAAUGUUUCAUUUUGUAACUAUCUUCUAUCAACAAUCUUUGUAAUACAAAAUAGAAGCCAUGUAGGUUCUGGAUUGAAUAUGUGUGACAUCUUUAAAAAUGAGAUGAAGACAACUAGCUACAGAAAGGUGAGGCAGCCUGGGCUGUGCCCUUGAGAUACAGCUGCUCUGUUCUGAGUGUGUAACAUGGUGCUGCCGCUAGGUGGCAGUCACGUUCCAUUAGUUUGGGAAGAGGACACUAAGACAAAUCAUCUGACCGGCCCUGUAAGGUUUGCUUUAAAGCACUUACAAAUUGUGUACGUAGAGAAUGACAGCAUUGGAACUCACAGCUGCAAAGCUCUGCAAACUACGAUUCCUGGGUGAAUGCUCACAACAUUCUUCAAGAGUUCAGCCUUCUGCACCCUCUUAAGAUGCCUGCUUCAUACCAAGCCGGGCACUGCUGGCUCACCAGAUUGUUUCUCAGGUAGUUUUAGCUGCAGCCCCGCUGCCUGUGUCUAUUUGCAUUCUGAUAGGACACCAGUCAGCAUGACUCACCAAACCUAUUGGCCACUGAUCUGGGCUACUUGCAUGCAAGGAGUUUUGUUUUGUUUCUGAACCUGCUUUAUUCUUUAUUUAAUGAAUGUCCAGAAAGCAGAAGGAAUGUUAACAUCGUCAGGUAUUAUACAUUCACAUGGGGGCAUGUUAGCUUUAGAAAUGUUUAUCUGUAAAACAAUUUGUUUAAGGGCCUUUGAGGUAUCGUACAUGAACACUGCUAGCAUUUUCACAGCUGUUAACCAUCUGAUAUAAUGGCAUUGCUGUAACAUACUUUACUACAUUGUACAUUGUUGUGUUCAAGUGAAAUUAUGAGAGUUGUAAAAAUAAACUCUGACAGACAGUG